CUCACGUGAUCCACCCGCCUCAGCCUCCCAAAGUGCUGGGAUCACAGGCACCGGCCGCCGCACCCGAGAGAGGAACUGAUUCCGAACUGCCCCUGCGUUUGGGGCCCAAGGUUAUUUCCCAGGGUUCAUCUCUGAUGGGUGGGCAGGCAAGCGCUUCCGGCAGCUUCUCAGGCCUGCGCUGCACAAAUGCGAACGAGGACUGGAUGUCGGCGCUGUGUCCCCGGCUCUGGGAUGUGCCCCUCCACCACCUCUCCAUCCCAGGGAGCCACGACACCAUGACGUACUGCCUCAACAAGAAGUCACCCAUUUCCCAGGAAGAGUCCCGGCUGCUGCAGCUGCUCAACAAAGCGUUCCCCUGCAUCACGCGCCCCGUGGUGCUGAAAUGGUCCGUCACCCAGGUGCUGGACGUCACGCAGCAGCUGGACGCGGGCGUGCGGUACUUAGAUCUGCGCAUCGCGCACAUGCUGCGCGGCUCUGAGAAGAACCUGCAUUUUGUUCACAUGGUCUACACCACGGCGCUGGUGGAGGACACGCUCACGGAGAUCUCAGAGUGGCUGGAGCGGCACCCUCGUGAGGUCGUCAUCCUGGCCUGCAGGAAUUUCGAGGGGCUGACCGAGGACCUUCACGAGUACCUGAUCUCCUGCAUCAAGACCAUCUUUGGGGACAUGCUGUGUCCCCGCGGGGAGGCCGCAACGCUGAGGCAGCUGUGGGCACGGGGCCAGCAGGCCAUCGUGUCCUAUGACCACGAGCGCUCCCUGGCCCGGCACCGGGAGCUCUGGCCGGGAAUCCCCUACUGGUGGGGGAACAAGGUGAAGACGGACGCCCUCAUCCGGUACCUGGAGACCAUGAAGAGCUGCGGCCGCCCAGGAGGGCUGUUUGUGGCCGGCAUCAACCUCACUGAGAACCUGCCGUACGUCCUGGCGCACCCGUCUGAGUCCCUGGAGAAGAUGACGACCCCCAACCUGCCGUGCCUGCGGGCGUGGGUCCGGGAGCAGUGCCCGGGGCCGGGGACCCGCUGCACCAACAUUAUCGCGGGAGACUUCGUCGGCGACGACAGCUUCGUCAGCGACGUCAUCGCACUGAACCGGAAGCUGCUGUGAUGCUGACGGGGACCCUUCUGAAGUCCGGGACGCCGCGGCUGCAGACAUGGUGUCCAGGCUGGUCCCAAACUCUUCAGCUCAGCUCAUCGUCAACCUCCCACGUAAGCUGGGACCUCAGCCGUCAGCCACCUCGCCCAGGCCGAGUGGCUGAUGACGACCCGGACGUCGGCCUCUCCAUCCUCGGGGAUCACGUGCACCUGCUGGACGGUGGCCUCCUCAUGUAGCCAGCUGGGGACCGAGGCGCGUCGCGUGGAAAAGCAGAACCCGUGAGCGUUCGGAGACGCUGCUGCAGCUGCAUGAACGAUUCUCCUAAAAACACCCAAGACGGCGGGGCGGUGAGGCAGGCCGGGAAAGGCGCGGGAGCGGGCGGUGCCACGGAGGGUCUGCGGGGCACGGGGGCUGCUCUUCCUGCCGCGUUCCCAGCAGUGGCGCCAACACUGUCCCUUUCGCUGAGAAAGGGCUGCGGUCGGCCGGGCGCGGCGGCUCACACCUGUCAUCGGGCACUUUGAGGCC
Molecule: non-coding RNA, 1613 nt
Organism: Saimiri boliviensis boliviensis (Bolivian squirrel monkey)
Lineage: Eukaryota; Metazoa; Chordata; Mammalia; Primates; Cebidae
Source: RefSeq, a predicted model, not a curated record